AUGUCCCUGCAAAAGGGGUUUGCAUUAUGUAUGUUCUUGUUGUACAUUAAUGAGAAUAGCAAGAACAGCAGAGGAAUCGAUGGCAAAAAUAAGGAGCGACAUUCUUCUUAUUUCAAAGAAAGGCAUCAAGUAGAUUCAUGUAGAAUGACUGUGGGAAGAUUAUCUUUUGAGAGCCGCUCCUCUCCACUCCCUGGCCAGAGAAAUCCCCA
Molecule: non-coding RNA, 209 nt
Organism: Triticum urartu
Lineage: Eukaryota; Viridiplantae; Streptophyta; Magnoliopsida; Poales; Poaceae
Source: RefSeq, a predicted model, not a curated record